Molecule: non-coding RNA, 105 nt
Organism: Moniliophthora roreri
Lineage: Eukaryota; Fungi; Basidiomycota; Agaricomycetes; Agaricales; Marasmiaceae
Source: Rfam
GGGCACAUGGUGUAGUUGGUUAUCACAUCCGCUUAGCAUCCAGGACGGUCAGUAGGGAUAUAUAAGCUCUGCGGGGGGUGCUGGGUUCAAUUCCCAGUGUGUCCA